RNAcentral lists this ribosomal RNA (164 nucleotides) under Euphorbia segetalis. RNAcentral describes it as "5.8S ribosomal RNA". It matches the Rfam family "5.8S ribosomal RNA". Rfam says of the family: 5.8S ribosomal RNA (5.8S rRNA) is a component of the large subunit of the eukaryotic ribosome. It is transcribed by RNA polymerase I as part of the 45S precursor that also contains 18S and 28S rRNA. Functionally, it is thought that 5.8S rRNA may be involved in ribosome translocation. RNAcentral also lists the same sequence under 5 other names. Lineage: Eukaryota; Viridiplantae; Streptophyta; Magnoliopsida; Malpighiales; Euphorbiaceae. The record is from RNAcentral.
UAAACGACUCUCGGCAACGGAUAUCUCGGCUCUCGCAUCGAUGAAGAACGCAGCGAAAUGCGAUACUUGGUGUGAAUUGCAGGAUCCCGCGAACCAUCGAGUUUUUGAACGCAAGUUGCGCCCGAAGCCUUCUGGCCGAGGGCACGUCUGCCUGGGUGUCACUC